UAAGACCGAAUCAGACAGCAGUCGUUUGAAAACGUUGGUAUUGUUCAUAAAAAAAUGGUAAAAUGGUAAAAAUGACAAAGUUACGAUCGUUGGACGUAUUUUUGGUUCUUCCAGUUUUCAAACCGUGUCUUUAUUAAUAGAACACAGCCGUGUUAUUUUUUUAGAAAACGAAAGCAACUUGUGCGACAAUCUGAUAUUGGAUGAAUGUAUCUUUCGUCGGUGAAAUAGCAGCUGUAUUAAGAGGAAAAUAAAUAAAACGCGAAAUACCGUUACCGAUUGAUUUUGUCAAUUACUCGUCGAGAUAUUGCACCGUUCCAUAUUAAGCGCGCUGACCCAUAUUAGGUACAGUUGCCCUACGUUGUGCUUCGUUUCAACGUUCCGCGAGCAUUCCACGCCACUUUUUGCGGAUCUGAACCAGGAAGAACCGCAAAUACGUCGUCCACUCAUCGUGAAAGUUUAAAACCAACGAUUAUAAUCAUCUGGAAAUAAAAUCAAUCAUUAAUUUA
This is a long non-coding RNA of Bombus pyrosoma, 506 nucleotides long. RefSeq lists it as uncharacterized. The transcript has 2 exons. Lineage: Eukaryota; Metazoa; Arthropoda; Insecta; Hymenoptera; Apidae. The record is from RefSeq and is a predicted model, not a curated record.